AACUUUCAGCAAUGGAUCUCUUGGCUCUCGCAUCGAUGAAGAACGCAGCGAAAUGCGAUACGUAAUGCGAAUUGCAGAAUUCAGUGAAUCAUCGAAUCUUUGAACGCAUCUUGCGCUUUCUGGUAUUCCGGAGAGCAUGCUUGUUUGAGUAUCAGUAAAUACCUCAAAUUCCUCUACAUGUCUCAGGAGUUUGGACUUGAGCAAUCCCACCUUUUCAAAAGAGAAGGCGGGUUGCUUGAAAUGCAGGUGCAGCUAGAUUCUUUCUUCUGAGCUAUAAGCAUACUUAUUUAAUCCCGUCAAACGGAUUAUUACUUUUGCUGCAGCUAACAUAAAGGUUGAAGAGUCGCUAUGGCUGACUGAUGCAGGAUUUAACAUGUCGCGCAAGCGAUCUGUAAACUCGAUCUCAAAUCAAGCAAGACUACCCGCUGAACUUAAGCAUAUCAAUAAGCGGAGGCU
Molecule: unclassified non-coding RNA, 456 nt
Filed under: uncultured Mortierella
Lineage: Eukaryota; Fungi; Mortierellomycota; Mortierellomycetes; Mortierellales; Mortierellaceae
Description: sequence contains ITS2
Rfam family: 5.8S ribosomal RNA (bases 1-154)
Source: RNAcentral